Panicum virgatum (switchgrass) is the source of this 1425-nucleotide RNA transcript. RefSeq lists it as uncharacterized. The record is from RefSeq and is a predicted model, not a curated record. The transcript has 9 exons. Lineage: Eukaryota; Viridiplantae; Streptophyta; Magnoliopsida; Poales; Poaceae.
CGUUUCCGAACCCCCGCCGCCGUCGCCGCUCGUCGCCGCCGGCGACUCGACUCCGCCAACCAACCUACUCCCAAAUCCCAACACUCAACCAAGUCGCGAGAUGCGGCGGUGGCGCCGCCCACAGCCUACGUGGCCGCGCCUCCGCCUCUGCUCCCGCCGCGCCGACGUGUCAGCUUCCCGUCCACUCCCCAUUCUCCUCCUAUUACUUGGCUCCGCCGGCAACUAUUCGCCCCCGCACUAACUCCGCGGCCGUUUCCUCUCGAGCGGUGAUCAUGGCGGCGCAGGGGUCCCUAGUCGCGUGGAGGGCGGUGUUCGCGGCGCUGGGCGUGCUCAUGGUGGGCACGCUGGUGUACACCUGCGCCACCGACGGCUCGCCGUUCCGCUCCGAGCUGCUUACGCCAUGGAUGGUGGCAACACUGGUUGAUUUUUAUGUGAAUGUAAUUGCAAUCUCGGCAUGGGUUAUCUACAAGGAAGCAAGCUGGGUUAGUUCUGCCGUGUGGGUGGUUCUGUUGUUUUGCUUUGGCAGUGCUGCUACUUGCGCUUAUAUUGUUAUGAAGCUUUUUGAAGUAACACCUACAGGACCAUCUCAAGAUCCACUUGAUCUUCUGUUUAUCAGGCAAGGUAACCCAUCCCAGAGAAAAUGCUCUUAUGUCAUAAUUGGAAGGAUUAUUUUCAGCAUUUUGGGAAUAUUCAUGGCUACUGUUGUCAUAUAUACUGUUAUCACUGAUGGACUUCCUUUUAGGAAGGAACUGUUGACACCGGACCAUAUGUCUGUCCUCUGCACCAAUUUGAUAGUCUCAGUCUCCCCUGUACUCACCACCCCGUCAAUCUUGGAUUCAGCUGCUCCUUCCAGCCCACUCCUGAAGCCGUUGCAUGUCAUGGCAAAGGGUGGAUGGCAGCGACCUUAAUUGAUUUCUACAUAAAUAUCUUUGCAAUAUCGGUUUGGGUUGCUCAUAAGGAAUCAUCUUGGAUAUCAACUACCAUUUGGAUUGUCUUGUUGAUAUGCUUCGGAAGCAUCACAACAUGCGGAUACAUUGUUCUCCAACUUCUCCAAGUGUCAUAUCAAGACCCAAUCUACCACGUGCUAUUGAACUCUCAUAGCAAGUAUGGAAUUGCGACUUCCCUGUAAUCAUUCGUCUUCUACGAGCCUGGUUAGCUUACAGCUGUCUAAACUUCUUGAAAUGUAGGAAGAUUUGAAAAUUCAUUGAAGUGUUAUGUUCAGCCUGGUUCGUAAUAAUACAAAUGUUCCCUUCUAUCUACAUGUAAAGGUACCACAACUAAGGGUGUAUGAAGAUAGCAAUUAGAGAAGUUCCUUUUUAGUUGAGUGAAAUGAUGACUUUGCCAACUUCUCUGCAAAAUGGACUGAAAGCUAAAUCUCUGUUAUUGUACUUCUGAUUCAAUUGCUUGGACAGUGAUCUUUUCUUU